ACAGCAGGUCGGUCUGUCGCUUGACGGGGAUACGUGUUUUUCCGAAAACAUCUUCCCCGCAAGAGGAAAGUCCGGGCAACACAGAGCGACGUACCGGUUAACGGCCGGCAGGCAGUGAUGUUUGGUCCCUGGAACAGCGACGAAUGGCAUCCGCAAGGAUGAUGAAACGGCUACACUACGUGUUGCAAUCUCAUGUAAACCCGCGCCUGAGGGCUGCUCGUCCGAGCGGGAGGGUAGAGAGCGCGAGAGCAAUGCAGCAAUGCAUCCGCCCAGAUUAAUGACAGACACUUUUGUGGAGAGCGGAUUCCGCAUCCGUUUUCUGCCAAGGCACAGAACCCGGCUUACAGACCUGCUGUUUUC
This 360-nucleotide RNase P RNA is filed under the name Paludibacteraceae bacterium. RNAcentral describes it as "RNase P RNA component class A". It matches the Rfam family "Bacterial RNase P class A". From Rfam's summary of the family: Ribonuclease P (RNase P) is a ubiquitous endoribonuclease, found in archaea, bacteria and eukarya as well as chloroplasts and mitochondria. The record is from RNAcentral. Lineage: Bacteria; Pseudomonadati; Bacteroidota; Bacteroidia; Bacteroidales; Paludibacteraceae.